This 30-nucleotide non-coding RNA is filed under the name Homo sapiens (human). The record is from RNAcentral. Lineage: Eukaryota; Metazoa; Chordata; Mammalia; Primates; Hominidae.
ACAAGGAAUAUAUCCUACUUGGGUUGUCUA